GAUGAACGCUGGCGGCGUGCCUAAUACAUGCAAGUCGAGCGAACGGACGAGAAGCUUGCUUUUCUGAUGUUAGCGGCGGACGGGUGAGUAACACGUGGAUAACCUACCUAUAAGACUGGGAUAACUUCGGGAAACCGGAGCUAAUACCGGAUAAUAUUUUGAACCGCAUGGUUCAAAAGUGAAAGACGGUCUUGCUGUCACUUAUAGAUGGAUCCGCGCUGCAUUAGCUAGUUGGUAAGGUAACGGCUUACCAAGGCAACGAUGCAUAGCCGACCUGAGAGGGGGAUCGGCCACACUGGAACUGAGACACGGUCCAGACUCCUAAGGGAGGCAGCAGUAGGGAAUCUUCCGCAAUGGGCGAAAGCCUGACGGAGCAACGCCGCGUGAGUGAUGAAGGUCUUCGGAUCGUAAAACUCUGUUAUUAGGGAAGAACAUAUGUGUAAGUAACUGUGCACAUCUUGACGGUACCUAAUCAGAAAGCCACGGCUAACUACGUG
RNAcentral lists this ribosomal RNA (497 nucleotides) under uncultured bacterium. Its description in RNAcentral is "partial 16S ribosomal RNA". It matches the Rfam family "Bacterial small subunit ribosomal RNA", at positions 28 to 507 of the family's 1533-position model. The record is from RNAcentral.